AUACGGAGGAUGCGAGCGUUAUCCGGAUUUAUUGGGUUUAAAGGGUGCGUAGGCUGUGCGUUAAGUCAGGGGUGAAAUGCCGUCGCUCAACGACGGAGCUGCCCUUGAUACUGGCGUGCUGGAGUACGGAUGCCGUUGGAGGAAUGAGUGGUGUAGCGGUGAAAUGCUUAGAUAUCACUCAGAACACCGAUUGCGAAGGCAUCUGACGAAUCCGUCACUGACGCUGAGGCACGAAAGCGUGGGGAUAGAACAGGAUUAGAUACCCUGGUAUUCCACGCCGUAAACGAUGAUGACUAACCGUCGGCGAUAGACAGCCGGUGGCCAAGCGAAAGCGAUAAGUCAUCCACCCGGGGAGUACGUCGGCAACGAUGAAACUUAAAGGAAUUGACGGGG
RNAcentral lists this ribosomal RNA (393 nucleotides) under uncultured bacterium. RNAcentral's name for it is "partial 16S ribosomal RNA". It matches the Rfam family "Bacterial small subunit ribosomal RNA", at positions 523 to 918 of the family's 1533-position model. The record is from RNAcentral.